AAAUUUGCAAUGUUUUUAUUAUAUUUGAAAACAUAUCAGUAAAGAUGAUUAUCUGGUGUGAUUAUCUGAUAAUUUAUUUCAUCAUUAGAGAAAAGAAAAUGAUGUGAUAAGUCUUCAGUUUGUCCACUCUGAGCUCAUUCUUUGAGCCUUUCCUGUACAGAGUGUUACUAGGUGGUGCAUAUCCAGACAUUUCUCUGAAUGAAUAUGAAGGUGUGGUUCUUUUUCCUGCUGACAAUAAAUAGUUUGUGAACCAAACCUGGACUUUCCAUGUAGCAAAGAUCACUGACUUCCUGUUGUUGCACAUCAAAAAUAUUUACACAGACAUGCAAAUGACACCAUACACUGACAACAAAAUACAUUACAGUAACUACUCACUUCUGUGUUAUCUCACGAUGCAGAUAUUUCAUGUUUGCUCAAUGGCAAAUAUUUUAAACUACAGCAAAUACAGUAGGUGACGAUGAUGAUGACCUUUUAUUUCUGACAUAAAAAAAACCCCCAACAAACCAAUAUAUCCACAUACAUACAAGUACAUCCAUAUAGAUAUACACAAUUUUAUAUGAAUAGAGCGCUCAAAAAAUUUAGUAUUUUGUGUCAGCAAAGUGUUACAGCAUUUCCGUAUUAAUAUCAAUGUGUCACAUUAUAUUUUGUAUGCUGUUUGUUAGUACUGACCGUUUUCCUCUACAUCAGUACUGUUAUUUUCCUAUUGGUGUGAUAGCACAUUUGCUUCUCUCUCUCUCACUUGCUCUCUCUCUCUCUCUCUCCCUCAUUCUCACUCUGCCUCUCUUUUCUACCACUUCCUCACUACUGUGGCCUAUAUGCAGUUUGAUGCAAGGAAGCGAUCAGCUCAUAUCUACUACAGCGUCAGGCCGAGGGGCCCUUCUCCAGCAACCAGGCACUCUGUGGGAUCGUCAUGGGAAACUGUGCUUCAGGAAAGAAGAAAGAGAAAGGGGAUUCUGAACCAGAUGAUAAGACCGCGAAUGACAAGCAACCCAACGAAGAUGUAACGUAUGCUUCUAUUAACCACGACAAAGCCAAAGGAGCAAGACAUAACAGACCACCGACAAACCAGAUCACCGACGACGACUGCGACUAUGCUACAGUUAAUAUUCCUGCAGCACUUCAGCCUCAGUCUGAAUCUGAGUGCUCAUCUAAAGACGAAUGUCCAGAUGAUUAUGUACUUAUGGGGUAAACAAACGGAAGUGGAAGCAUUUGUUCGGUCAAGUGAGUUGCAGAAAAUAUCUGAUGCCAGGUAAAGGCAUGCAAGAACUUGUUUGCACUUGAAUUGUCACUUUAUUUUUUAUAUUCUUAGCUUAAUCAAGAGCAGAUCUUGAUUAUCAAAGAAACUGCCAAAAUGAGAAGAUUAACAGCCAACAGCAGCUGAUUGCGGAAGUAUGUACAGUAACCAGAAAGAAGUUUCUCUCCACAAUUGAAGAAACGUUUUAACCAGAACAUGGUGGUGGUGUUUCUUCCUCAAGAAGACUAACUCGCAUUGCAGACGAACCUGCGAGAGAUGACACGAUUCUCGAGACAUCGGGACUUUACUAAAAGAUUUGAAAAAUCAGAAGAAAGCCAACAAGCUUUCAUCAAUUCUGGACCUCUCUGAGAAGGGCAAUGCAUCCAAAUCAGGAAAUACAGAAGUUUGUGGCAUGCAAUUACUACUUACAAGUGAAUCGAUGAAGUCUUAAAGCCACCAUGUGUGACAUUUUAAUGUGAAUUUGAAAAUGUUUGAAAUAGAAGUUAUAUUUUGUUGUGUUUCUUUAGCUUUAGGUUAGGUUAUGUGAUUUAUGUUUUGGCCCCAAGUUCCUAAAACAUCACAGCACAAAUUCAAAACUUGCUCCUCUUUAAAGAGAAGUUUCCCUGAAGAAACUCAGACUUUUUGACCUGUUUGACCUUUUUGAGACUGUUGCCACACCACAACUGAAAGUCUGAGAAUGUCCACCACAUUCUCAGACAUACCUAACAUUUUGUUUGCAUAGGAAAGUCUAGAACUGGUAUUUUGUGGUUUCAUAGCGUGCAUGUGCAACAAUAAUGGCAGAACUGUUUGGGGGUUUUUGAGAGACAAAUUUGUUGAUAUGAAUGCAUCUGCUGUAAGGUGCUGCUCAGGAAGGUUUGAUCAUUAUCUAGAGUCUGUUGCUGGUGGUUGGUGCUGAAACAAUGCCAACUCUUUGCUCCACCAUUAAUCAGUUUCACAACGCCCCAUAUUGAGUUCCCUCAGAAAGCGUUUUCAAACUUAAUACUGCCCAAACCUAAAAUGCAAUCCAAAUGUGCAACCAAAUACGAAAACAGUUUGUGUAAUUUGAUCUAUUGCCACAUUAUAAAACGAUAGUCCAGACCACACAUAGUCAGAAGCAUUUCACAGCAUGUAAGAAGCACUCCACAGGCCCCAAUAUACUACAAACACACUGAAAGGUUGAGAAGUUGUUUGUUUGUUUUUUCUUUGAGAGAUGGUUUUUUGUGCCUUUUAGUUUGAAUCUGUCUAAUCAACAGAAUUAUUUAUACAUUUAACUUCAUGGCAGAGUACUGUUAUUUACCCCAUCUGUUCUUAUUCUGCUGUAUGAAUAAACUGCAUGUCUGAAAAACUGAAAGAAGAAGAAAAAAAUCUUUUCAAUUUAAAACGAAAACCAGUUUUGCUAUUUGCUUCUGCUUUUAAGAGGAAAUCAUGUUAAUGUGCUAAGUCACUGUAAGAGUUCAAAUAGUCAGGCUGUGAAAAUAGGGAUAUAUUUGUGAGGCAAAUUUUUAGUUCUCUCAUUAUAAUGGAAAUACAAUUAUAGUCACUGCAGCUCUUGCCUCUGAUCUACCCUCUAUCACUUACUAAAGCUACUGAAAAGAACAAGUGUGAAGCCACUGACAUACAUGUGUGUAUAUAUAUAUUUAUGUAUAUGGAGAGAGAGAAACUUUGACUUUUGGUUUAGAUCAUUGUUAAUGAGUAUAGUGUUGGUGAUCAUGUCAGAAUUGAUGAAUGAAUGCAGAAAUGUGCCAUCAGCUUUUCAACCGCCAUGCAAAAGCAUUUGGAAUGAAGCUGAAGCUGGAACAGCUUCAUUUUUC
Long non-coding RNA from Astatotilapia calliptera (eastern happy), 3045 nucleotides. The record is from Ensembl. NCBI's taxonomy places the organism in Eukaryota, Metazoa, Chordata, Actinopteri, Cichliformes, Cichlidae.